CGGACAGAAGCCCGCUGGAUUGGGUGUUUAGCUGUUAAUUAAAUUUUUGCGGGAUCAAGGCCCGCCUGUCUAG
RNAcentral lists this transfer RNA (73 nucleotides) under Sceloporus ornatus (ornate spiny lizard). Its description in RNAcentral is "tRNA-Asx". The record is from RNAcentral. Lineage: Eukaryota; Metazoa; Chordata; Lepidosauria; Squamata; Phrynosomatidae.